UAGUCCACGCCCUAAACGAUGGAUACUAGGUGUCCGGGAUAUUAACCUCCUGGGUACUACAGUUAACGCGUUAAGUAUCCCGCCUGGGGAGUACGGUCGCAAGGCUAAAACUCAAAGGAAUUGACGGGGGCCCGCACAAGCGGUGGAGUAUGUGGUUUAAUUCGAAGCAACGCGCAGAACCUUACCUACCCUUAACAUUUCACGACGUAUACAGAGAUGUAUAUUUCUCUUCGGAGACGUGAGGAUAGGUGCUGCAUGGCUGUCGUCAGCUCGUGUCGUAAGAUGUCUGGUUAAGUCCAAUAACGAGCGCAACCCUUAUCCUUAGUUACCAGCAUUAAGUUGGGGACUCUAGGGAGACUGCCGGUGCUAAACCGGAGGAAGGCGGGGAUGACGUCAAGUCAUCAUGGCCCUUAUGGUCUGGGCUACACACGUCCUACAAUGGUCGGUACAGAGGGCUGCGAAACCGCGAGGUGGAGCUAAUCCCUUAAAGCCGGCCCCAGUUCGGAUAGCAGGCUGCAAUUCGCCUG
Molecule: ribosomal RNA, 527 nt
Filed under: uncultured bacterium
Lineage: Bacteria
Description: bacterial SSU rRNA
Rfam family: Bacterial small subunit ribosomal RNA
Source: RNAcentral